CAUUGAGCAGGGUCCCGUAACUAACAUGGUCCAUCUGAAAUCCUUGUGCUACGACCUUGUCAUGAAAGUGCAGUGAUUUCUUGACCUCACCCUUGAGACACAGACCUUUCAUGAGUGUAUUCAAGGUUAUGGUAUUCGGCUGAUAACCUAAUUUUAGAAUUUUGCCCAAUACAG
Molecule: long non-coding RNA, 174 nt
Organism: Glycine soja
Lineage: Eukaryota; Viridiplantae; Streptophyta; Magnoliopsida; Fabales; Fabaceae
Exons: 2
Source: RefSeq, a predicted model, not a curated record